Molecule: ribosomal RNA, 867 nt
Filed under: uncultured archaeon
Lineage: Archaea
Description: bacterial SSU rRNA
Rfam family: Archaeal small subunit ribosomal RNA
Source: RNAcentral
CUCCGGUUGAUCCCCCCGGGCCCGACUGCUAUCGGAUUGGUACUAGGCCAUGCGAGUCGUUGUAGCAAUACAAGGCGGACGGCUCAGUAACACGUAGUCAACCUAACCUAUGGACGUGGAUAACCUCGGGAAACUGAGGAUAAACCGCGAUAGGCCAAGUUUUCUGGAAUGGAACAUGGCUGAAAUCUAUAUGGCCCUUGGAUUGGACUGCGUCCGAUCAGGCUGUUGGCGGGGUAAUGGCCCACCAAACCUGUAACCGGUACGGGCCUUGAGAGAGGUGGCCCGGAGAUGGACACUGAGAGAAGGGUCCAGGUCCUACGGGGCGCAGCAGGCGCGAAACCUUCGCAAUGCGCGAAAGCGUGACGAGGUUAAUCCGAGUGACUUCCGCUGAGGAGGUCUUUUGUCAGCUGUAAAUAGGCAGGCGAAUAAGGGGAGGGCAAGCCUGGUGUCAGCCGCCGCGGUAAUACCAGCUCCUCGAGUGGUCGGGGCGAUUAUUGGGCCUAAAGCAUCCGUAGCCGGUUCCGUAGGUCCUCUGUUAAAUCCAACCGCUUAACGGUUGACCUGCAGAGGAUACCGCGGGACUAGGAGGCGGGAGAGGCGGACGGUACUCCGCGUGUAGGGGUAAAAUCCUUUGAUCCGCGGAAGACCACCAGUGGCGAAGGCGGUCCGCCAGAACGCGCUCGACGGUGAGGGAUGAAAGCUGGGGGAGCGAACCGGAUUAGAUACCCGGGUAGUCCCAGCCGUAAACGAUGCUAGCUAGAUGAUUCAUUCGCAAGUCGCGAAUGAAGUGUCGCAGGGAAGCCGUUAAGCUAGCCGCCUGGGCAGUACGGUCGCAAGACUGAAACUUAAGGAAUUGGGGGGGGAGCC